RNAcentral lists this long non-coding RNA (777 nucleotides) under Homo sapiens (human). RNAcentral describes it as "non-protein coding SNHG5:42". The record is from RNAcentral. Lineage: Eukaryota; Metazoa; Chordata; Mammalia; Primates; Hominidae.
CUUUUACGUCGGCCUUCGCGAGCGUCUGGGCGGGUGGUAGGUGAGUGGGUAUUGCGGGCUAGUAUCCGAGCAAAAGAUGGUGGCGCAGGCCGAGUUAAGAGCUUUAAUCCUGUGAAGACAUCUUAGUGAAGAGUUUAGAGUGCUGAGAGUUGAAAGCUUGCACGUGGGAAACGUGCGGCCGGACUGCCACAUGUACUGAGGUUGAGUCGUGACGGCCACAGGCUCCGAGUUUUGGCGUGAGGAACCGCUGAUCGGCCACGGGCGCCGAACUUGCUGGCCUCCGGCAUGUGCCUGAGCGGCGGCGGAAAAACCACCUUAAUUGGGGCGGAGGGUUAGUUUUAACAGCAAAGGGCCUUUACUAAAAUGGCGAAGGCCUUCCGUCGGCGUUGUUUUAAAAUGGGAAGCCUCGACCCUGUAUUGAAACUGAGCUGUUCGAAGGCGGCGUUGUGUGCAAUUCGGAUUAAUGAAGGGGAAGGGUUUUGUGUGGAAAAACGCCUUGGAGUGUGACAUUUCUGCGAGAAUGCUUAAAUACCGAUUUCCCGCAGGAACAAUGGCGCUGUCUUCAGUGGCACAGUGGAGCAGCUCUGAAGAUGCAAAGUGAGGGUCGCUGUCUGCCCAUUGAUAGAGGCCAGAUUGUCUUGGAAGUUCCAAAGUUGCAACGAUUUCUGGCUAGUGCCACGAGGUUUACUUGACUGUUGUGUGAAAAGCUGAUAAGAAAACCAUCCAGAAAAAAGCUCUUCGUUUUACAAACAUGAAAAUAAAACAUGUAAUUUUGGA